RNAcentral lists this transfer RNA (79 nucleotides) under Osmundastrum cinnamomeum (cinnamon fern). RNAcentral describes it as "tRNA-Lys". It matches the Rfam family "tRNA". Rfam says of the family: Transfer RNA (tRNA) molecules are approximately 80 nucleotides in length. Their secondary structure includes four short double-helical elements and three loops (D, anti-codon, and T loops). The record is from RNAcentral. Lineage: Eukaryota; Viridiplantae; Streptophyta; Polypodiopsida; Osmundales; Osmundaceae.
GGGUUGCUAACUCAAUGGUAGAGUACUCGGCUCUUAACUUUCACCCGACGAGCUCCGGGUUCGAGCCCCGGGCAACCCA